UGUGUGUGUGUGUCAGUAUCCUUACAUAUAUGAAAAUCUGCAUACUGUAUGACACAGAUAAAGGUACGAAUAAAACAAUAUUAUCUUUAAAUGUUAGUGGUGGACCUCAUCGGACCCUUCACGAAAUCCAAGAAUGGCAACAGCUGGUAUCUGACGACGACCGAUCACUUUACCAAGUGGGUGGAGGCAAUAGCCAUUAUGGUCAGUAAAGGAAGAGUACGCGCUUAACUCUAAAUUCCCUUCUGUAACCCAUUAAAAAGGGUGCUUGGAACCAAAACUCGAUUUUCGUUUUGUAUGAUACCCAUCAUGGACGAGACUGGCGAGGCUACCUCCAAGGCGAUGAUGAUCUUCAACACCCACUGUUCUCCGGGGGUCAUCUUGAGUGACCGAGGUCAUGAAUGCUAGAACAAGGUACGGAUGUUCUAGGUCAUAUUCUGUCAUCAAUGGUUUGUUUCAUUUAUUUUUUACAAUUUGUUUUUGUUUUCCCAUGGUACAUAAAUCAGACAUAUUUCAAUAUCUUAUAUUUUCAAUAGAUAUCGCUUUCCUACCCCCUCCUCCAGGUUUGGUGAACGGGCCAAUCAAAACCUCAAGACUGCCAUGGGCUGGUCCCUUGAUUGGAACCAGGAAGGGUUCCAAUUUCCUGAAGGUAAUUCUCUUUGCACACAACAGCAGCAUCCAGGCCUCCACCGAGUACGGACGGGAGCCGCAGCUGUUGACUGAGGUAAACAAUGCAAUUGUAUACAAUAUACAAUUAUUGCAUGUACUGUAGUCUAUCAAAUGUAUGAUUGACUUAGUUAUGUUGUUUGCCUUUUGCUAUUUUUGUAUAACGUACUUUCAGAUCACUGAAACCCCACCUGAUGUAGUGGAAGUUGUCGAACCAGAUCAGAACUCUUCGAGUACUACCUUCAGGCACGGACUGAGAAGGAUGUGGAGGUUUUUGACCAGGUGAGACUGAACAUCGACAAGGCGCAGGAGAAACAAAAGGAGAGCUACCGGAGCAGAAUCAAGAAGGGGACCAAGUGCUUCGACAUCCAGGCGAAUUACUUGGUUUGGAAGGACGAAAGUAAGGCGAGAGCUGGGAAACCUCGCUGCACUUUUGCUCCUAGCUGGGGUCACCAUCUGUUAAAGAUUACCUCAGUGGAAGCCAACAAUCUUCUCCAGUUGGAGCAGUUGGACGGUCGACCACUGAAAGCCCUGACGCCCUACACUUCGGUGAAGCCCAAAAGACAAAGAUCAUCGACUGUCCCAGCCCCCCCAGGAGGUAUCCCAUCCACCAGAACCAGUGAGUUCGUGUCAGUCUGAUUCUCUGUGCUCUAAGUCGGAGGGGGACCAGCUUGAGGACCUAGGGGUUCUGCCCAACACCCAGACGUGGAUCCACC
This is a long non-coding RNA of Salvelinus sp. IW2-2015, 1379 nucleotides long. RefSeq lists it as uncharacterized. Lineage: Eukaryota; Metazoa; Chordata; Actinopteri; Salmoniformes; Salmonidae. The record is from RefSeq and is a predicted model, not a curated record.